GACGAACGCUGGCGGCGUGCUUAACACAUGCAAGUCGAACGGAAAGGCCCUGCUUUUGUGGGGUGCUCGAGUGGCGAACGGGUGAGUAACACGUGAGUAACCUGCCCUUGACUUUGGGAUAACUUCAGGAAACUGGGGCUAAUACCGGAUAGGAGCUCCUGCUGCAUGGUGGGGGUUGGAAAGUUUCGGCGGUUGGGGAUGGACUCGCGGCUUAUCAGCUUGUUGGUGGGGUAGUGGCUUACCAAGGCUUUGACGGGUAGCCGGCCUGAGAGGGUGACCGGCCACAUUGGGACUGAGAUGCGGCCCAGACUCCUACGGGAGGCAGCGGUGGGGAAUAUUGCACAAUGGGCGGAAGCCUGAUGCAGCACCGCCGCGUGCGGGAUGACGGCCUUCGGGUUGUAAUCCGCUUUCGCCUGUGACGAAGCGUGAGUGACGGUAAUGGGUAAAGAAGCACCGGCUAACUACGUG
RNAcentral lists this ribosomal RNA (468 nucleotides) under uncultured bacterium. RNAcentral's name for it is "partial 16S ribosomal RNA". It matches the Rfam family "Bacterial small subunit ribosomal RNA", at positions 28 to 507 of the family's 1533-position model. The record is from RNAcentral.